RNAcentral lists this non-coding RNA (174 nucleotides) under marine eukaryotic metagenome. Its description in RNAcentral is "6S / SsrS RNA". It matches the Rfam family "6S / SsrS RNA". Rfam says of the family: E. coli 6S RNA was the first non coding RNA to be sequenced, but its function was unknown until recently. It consists of 184 nucleotides that fold into an extended hairpin structure with a large single-stranded internal bulge. The record is from RNAcentral.
UCCCUGGGUUGUUUGCCAGUCGUUAUGUCCUCGACCCUUUAUGCGCAAACCAGGAGGUCUUUUUCCACGGUGAGUGUGCAUGUCCGGUUUUCCGGAACGCCUGUAGCCUGUUAGAGACCACCGCCUUGAACCGCUGGGUUCAAGGGCCUACACAGACAGCGGCAAUCUGGGGAG